Oryzias latipes (Japanese medaka) is the source of this 741-nucleotide non-coding RNA. The record is from RefSeq and is a predicted model, not a curated record. NCBI's taxonomy places the organism in Eukaryota, Metazoa, Chordata, Actinopteri, Beloniformes, Adrianichthyidae.
AAACUCAACGCUUUUAUGAUAUCUUUGAACUAUUAACAUAAUCUCUUGACUAAAAAUCUAAUUAAAAUCAACCAUUUACUUUAUUUCCUGCAGGAUCCAGUGAACUCCAUCAUUGCAACAUCAGUGAAGAACGGCAGGAUCCAGAUGUUUGGUGGAAGCUGCCCCUCUAUCUGUGUCCAGCUGUUUCUGUCCUUUUUGUUUUCUCCGUUUACAAACUUUGUAAACACAAAGUACAAUCUCAAAAUACUCAACAGAAUCAUCCAUCAAGACAAAUGCAGCAUCAGGAUGCCGCACUGGAAAUCUACCAUCCAUCUGUUGGACCAAAGAGGAGGAACGCAGCUCAUCCUUCAACCUUUAGCACAUAUUUUGCUGUCCAAUACACCUCAAAUGUGAAUUGUCUGCCAUAAAGGAAAGAUGGAAACUGAUUUAGUCAAGUGGAGAUUUUGAAAUCAUCUCUUUUUUUCUUACGUCAAAUAUUAAUAUGAACAUGUCAGGUUUCUUUAUACAUGAGCUGUUUUGAAUAAUUAGGAAGAUUUAAAGACUAGCAUGUGAAGGAAACGUUUUGUGAAUUUUUUUUGUGUUUUUAAGUGAAAUAUUUUGCUUUUAAGUUAUGGUCACACCGGCUUCAGCAAUGAGUUCAAGGGACCACUUUCAUUAAAAGGUUAAUGUAAAAAUGCGUAAAUGCACUUCUGAGUUCAAAUCUCUUGCAUUCAAAUGUUAAUAAACACAUUUUCAAGUUUG